Molecule: ribosomal RNA, 253 nt
Filed under: uncultured bacterium
Lineage: Bacteria
Description: partial 16S ribosomal RNA
Rfam family: Bacterial small subunit ribosomal RNA
Source: RNAcentral
UACGUAGGGGGCAAGCGUUGUCCGGAAUUAUUGGGCGUAAAGCGCGUGUAGGCGGUCCGGUAAGUCGGUUAUGAAAGUCCAGGGCUCAACCCUGGGAUGCCGACCGAUACUGUCGGACUAGAGUUCGGAAGAGGCGAGUGGAAUUCCCGGUGUAGCGGUGAAAUGCGCAGAUAUCGGGAGGAACACCAAUGGCGAAGGCAGCUCGCUGGGACGUUACUGACGCUGAGACGCGAAAGCGUGGGGAGCAAACAGG